GUGAUGUAGCCAAGUGGUAAGGCAACGGUCUGCAAAACCGUCAUUCGGCAGUUCAAAUCUGCCCAUCA
This 68-nucleotide transfer RNA is filed under the name bovine gut metagenome. It matches the Rfam family "tRNA". From Rfam's summary of the family: Transfer RNA (tRNA) molecules are approximately 80 nucleotides in length. Their secondary structure includes four short double-helical elements and three loops (D, anti-codon, and T loops). The record is from RNAcentral.